GAGGUGGCAAGCGUUGUCCGGGAAUUAUUGGGGCGUAAAGCGCGCGCAGGCGGUUCUUUAAGUCUGAUGUGAAAGCCCACGGGCUCAACCGUGGAGGGUCAUUGGAAACUGGAGAACUUGAGUACAGAAGAGGAAAGCGGAAUUCCACGUGUAGCGGUGAAAUGCGUAGAGAUGUGGAGGAACACCAGUGGCGAAGGCGGCUUUCUGGUCUGUAACUGACGCUGAGGCGCGAAAGCGUGGGGAGCAAACAGGAUUAGAUACCCUGGUAGUCCACGCCGUAAACGAUGAGUGCUAAGUGUUAGGGGGUUUCCGCCCCUUAGUGCUGCAGCUAACGCAUUAAGCACUCCGCCUGGGGAGUACGGCCGCAAAGGCUGA
This 375-nucleotide ribosomal RNA is filed under the name uncultured organism. RNAcentral's name for it is "partial 16S ribosomal RNA". It matches the Rfam family "Bacterial small subunit ribosomal RNA", at positions 528 to 897 of the family's 1533-position model. The record is from RNAcentral.